This 253-nucleotide ribosomal RNA is filed under the name uncultured bacterium. RNAcentral's name for it is "partial 16S ribosomal RNA". It matches the Rfam family "Bacterial small subunit ribosomal RNA", at positions 524 to 776 of the family's 1533-position model. The record is from RNAcentral.
UACGUAGGGGGCUAGCGUUGUCCGGAAUCAUUGGGCGUAAAGCGCGCGUAGGCGGCCCGGUAAGUCCGCUGUAAAAGUCAAAGGCUCAACCUUUGAAUGUCAGUGGAUACUGCCGGGCUAGAGUCCGGAAGAGGCGAGUGGAACUCCUGGUGUAGCGGUCGAAUGCGCAGAUAUCGGGAGGAACACCAAUGGCGAAGGCAGCUCGCUGGGACGGUACUGACGCUGAGACGCGAAAGCGUGGGGAGCAAACAGG